Molecule: ribosomal RNA, 524 nt
Filed under: uncultured bacterium
Lineage: Bacteria
Description: partial 16S ribosomal RNA
Rfam family: Bacterial small subunit ribosomal RNA
Source: RNAcentral
GAUAAACGCUGGCGGCGUGCUUAACACAUGCAAGUCGAACGGGCAGACAGAGAGCUUGCUCUCUUGAAGUUAGUGGCGAACGGGUGAGUAACGCGUAAUCAACCUGCCCUUCAGAGGGGGAUAACAACGGGAAACCGUUGUUAAUACCGCGUACGACUCAUGAACGGCAUCGUUUAUGAAUGAAAGGUGGCCUCUAUGUAUAACCUAUCGCUGAAGGAGGGGAUUGCGUCUGAUUAGCUAGUUGGAGGGGUAACGGCCCACCAAGGCAAUGAUCAGUAGCCGGUCUGGGAGGAUGAACGGCCACAUUGGGACUGAGACACGGCCAAAACUCCUACGGGAGGCAGCAGUGGGGAAGCUUCCGCAAUGGACGAAAGGCUGACGGAGCAACGCCGCGUGAGUGAUGAAGGUCUUCGGAUUGUAAAGCUCUGUUAAUCGGGACGAAAGAGUUCUGCGUGAAUAAUGCAGAAAAGUGACGGUACCGGAAUAGAAAGCCACGGCUAACUACGUGCCAGCCGCCGCGGUAA